CCCUUAGAUGUUCUGGGCCGCACGCGUGCUACACUGAACGGUUCAAUGGGUAAGGUAGUGCGAAAGCAUGACCUAAUCUCGAAAUCCGUUCGUGCUGGGGAUAGAAGCUUGCAAUUAUCCUUCUUGAACGAGGAAUACCUUGUAAGCGUGAGUCAUCAUCUCACGCUGAAUACGUCCCUGCCCUUUGUACACACCGCCCGUCGCUCCUACCGAUUGAGUGUUCCGGUGAGGCUUUGGGAGAAUGGCCUCGACAUGAGUUUAUCGUGUUUUGCCGUUUGAACUUAGUCAAACCUUAUCACUUAGAGGAAGGAGAAGUCGUAACA
RNAcentral lists this ribosomal RNA (323 nucleotides) under uncultured eukaryote. Its description in RNAcentral is "partial 18S ribosomal RNA". It matches the Rfam family "Eukaryotic small subunit ribosomal RNA", at positions 1470 to 1796 of the family's 1831-position model. The record is from RNAcentral.